AGAGUUUGAUCCUGGCUCAGAAUCAACGCUGGCGGCGUGCCUCAGACAUGCAAGUCGAACGCGAAAGUCCCCUUCGGGGGAUAAGUAGAGUGGCGCACGGGUGAGUAACACGUAGGUAAUCUACCUUCGGGUGGGGAAUAACCCAGGGAAACUUGGGCUAAUACCGCAUAAUGCAGCGGCACCACAUGGUGACAGUUGUUAAAGCGGGGGAUCUUCGGAUCUCGCGCCUGAAGAGGAGCCUGCGGCAGAUUAGCUAGUUGGUAAGGUAACGGCUUACCAAGGCGACGAUUUGUAGCCGGCCUGAGAGGGCGGUCGGCCACACUGACACUGACAUACGGGUCAGACUCCUACGGGAGGCAGCAGUCGGGAAUUUUGGGCAAUGGGCGAAAGCCUGACCCAGCAACGCCGCGUGAAGGAUGAAAUCCCUCGGGAUGUAAACUUCGCAAGAAUGGGAAGAAUUAGUAGGGGUUAAUACCCCCUAUGAUGACGGUACCAUUUGUAAGCUCCGGCUAACUCCGUGCCAGCAGCCGCGGUAAUACGGGGGGAGCAAGCGUUGUUCGGAUUUACUGGGCGUAAAGGGCGCGUAGGCGGCCAGCACAAGUCAGUUGUGAAAUCUCCGGGCUUAACUCGGAAAGGUCAACUGAUACUGUGCGGCUAGAGUGCGGAAGGGGCAACUGGAAUUCUCGGUGUAGCGGUGAAGUGCGUAGAUAUCGAGAGGAACACCUGCGGCGAAGGCGGGUUGCUGGGCCGACACUGACGCUGAUGCGCGAAAGCCAGGGGAGCGAACGGGAUUAGAUACCCCGGUAGUCC
This 810-nucleotide ribosomal RNA is filed under the name uncultured bacterium. RNAcentral describes it as "bacterial SSU rRNA". It matches the Rfam family "Bacterial small subunit ribosomal RNA", at positions 8 to 796 of the family's 1533-position model. The record is from RNAcentral.